This 167-nucleotide ribosomal RNA is filed under the name Callogobius sclateri (Pacific goby). RNAcentral describes it as "partial 12S rRNA". The record is from RNAcentral. Lineage: Eukaryota; Metazoa; Chordata; Actinopteri; Gobiiformes; Gobiidae.
CACCGCGGUUAUACGAGAGGCCCAAGUUGACAGAAAUCGGCGUAAAGCGUGGUUAAUAAAAAUUAAACUAAAGCCGAACACCUUCAAAGCUGUUAUACGCACCCGAAGACAGGAAGACCCACAACGAAAGUGGCUUUAACUAUUAUGACCCCACGAAAGCUAGGACA